RNAcentral lists this ribosomal RNA (593 nucleotides) under Trichoderma harzianum. Its description in RNAcentral is "partial 18S ribosomal RNA". The stretch from base 235 to 388 matches the Rfam family "5.8S ribosomal RNA". The record is from RNAcentral. Lineage: Eukaryota; Fungi; Ascomycota; Sordariomycetes; Hypocreales; Hypocreaceae.
UUUCCGUUAGGGGGGCCUGCGGAGGGAUCAUUACCGAGUUUACAACUCCCAAACCCAAUGUGAACGUUACCAAACUGUUGCCUCGGCGGGAUCUCUGCCCCGGGUGCGUCGCAGCCCCGGACCAAGGCGCCCGCCGGAGGACCAACCAAAACUCUUAUUGUAUACCCCCUCGCGGGUUUUUUUAUAAUCUGAGCCUUCUCGGCGCCUCUCGUAGGCGUUUCGAAAAUGAAUCAAAACUUUCAACAACGGAUCUCUUGGUUCUGGCAUCGAUGAAGAACGCAGCGAAAUGCGAUAAGUAAUGUGAAUUGCAGAAUUCAGUGAAUCAUCGAAUCUUUGAACGCACAUUGCGCCCGCCAGUAUUCUGGCGGGCAUGCCUGUCCGAGCGUCAUUUCAACCCUCGAACCCCUCCGGGGGGUCGGCGUUGGGGAUCGGCCCUGCCUUGGCGGUGGCCGUCUCCGAAAUACAGUGGCGGUCUCGCCGCAGCCUCUCCUGCGCAGUAGUUUGCACACUCGCAUCGGGAGCGCGGCGCGUCCACAGCCGUUAAACACCCAACUUCUGAAAUGUGACCUCGGAUCAUGUAGAUUGCUAAGUCG